GACGAACGCUGGCGGCGUGCUUAACACAUGCAAGUCGAACGGAAAGGCCCUGCUUUUGUGGGGUGCUCGAGUGGCGAACGGGUGAGUAACACGUGAGUAACCUGCCCUUGACUUUGGGAUAACUUCAGGAAACUGGGGCUAAUACCGGAUAGGAGCUCCUGCUGCAUGGUGGGGGUUGGAAAGUUUCGGCGGUUGGGGAUGGACUCGCGGCUUAUCAGCUUGUUGGUGGGGUAGUGGCUUACCAAGGCUUUGACGGGUAGCCGGCCUGAGGGGGUGACCGGCCACAUUGGGACUGAGAUACGGCCCAGACUCCUACGGGAGGCAGCAGUGGGGAAUAUUGCACAAUGGGCGGAAGCCUAAUGCAGCAACGCCGCGUGCGGGAUGACGGCCUUCGGGUUGUAAACCGCUUUCGCCUGUGACGAAGCGUGAGUGACGGUAAUGGGUAAAGAAGCACCGGCUAACUACGUGCCAGCAGCCGCGGUGAUACGUAGGGUGCGAGCGUUGUCCGGAUUUAUUGGGCGUAAAGGGCUCGUAGGUGGUUGAUCGCGUCGGAAGUGUAAUCUUGGGGCUUAACCCUGAGCGUGCUUUCGAUACGGGUUGACUUGAGGAAGGUAGGGGAGAAUGGAAUUCCUGGUGGAGCGGUGGAAUGCGCAGAUAUCAGGAGGAACACCAGUGGCGAAGGCGGUUCUCUGGGCCUUUCCUGACGCUGAGGAGCGAAAGCGUGGGGAGCGAACGGGCUUAGAUACCCUGGUAGUCCACGCUGUAAACGGUGGGUACUAGGUGUGGGGUCCAUUCCACGGGUUCCGUGCCGUAGCUAACGCUUUAAGUACCCCGCCUGGGGAGUACGGCCGCAAGGCUAAAACUCAAAGGAAUUGACGGGGCCCCGCACAAGCGGCGGAGCAUGCGGAUUAAUUCGAUGCAACGCGUAGAACCUUACCUGGGUUUGACAUGGAUCGGGAGUGCUCAGAGAUGGGUGUGCCUCUUUUGGGGUCGGUUCACAGGUGGUGCAUGGCUGUCGUCAGCUCGUGUCGUGAGAUGUUGGGUUAAGUCCCGCAACGAGCGCAACCCUUGUUCACUGUUGCCAGCACGUUAUGGUGGGGACUCAGUGGAGACCGCCGGGGUCAACUCGGAGGAAGGUGGGGAUGACGUCAAGUCAUCAUGCCCCUUAUGUCCAGGGCUUCACGCAUGCUACAAUGGCUGGUACAGAGAGUGGCGAGCCUGUGAGGGUGAGCGAAUCUCGGAAAGCCGGUCUCAGUUCGGAUUGGGGUCUGCAACUCGACCUCAUGAAGUCGGAGUCGCUAGUAAUCGCAGAUCAGCAACGCUGCGGUGAAUACGUUCCCGGGGCU
Molecule: ribosomal RNA, 1346 nt
Filed under: uncultured bacterium
Lineage: Bacteria
Description: partial 16S ribosomal RNA
Rfam family: Bacterial small subunit ribosomal RNA
Source: RNAcentral